AGAGUUUGAUCCUGGCUCAGGAUAAACGCUGGCGGCGCACAUAAGACAUGCAAGUUGAACGGACUUAAUCGAAAUAUUUAUAUUUUGAAGCGGUUAGUGGCGGACUGGUGAGUAACGCGUAAGGAACCUGCCUAUUAGAGGGGAAUAACAGUGAGAAAUCAUUGCUAAUACCGCAUAUGCCAUAGAUAUCACAUGAUAACAGUGGGAAAGGAGCAAUCCGCUAAUAGAUGGCCUUGCGUCUGAUUAGAUAGUUGGUGGGGUAACGGCCUACCAAGUCGACGAUCAGUAGCCGGACUGAGAGGUUGAACGGCCACAUUGGGACUGAGAUACGGCCCAGACUCCUACGGGAGGCAGCAGUCGGGAAUAUUGCGCAAUGGAGGAAACUCUGACGCAGUGACGCCGCGUAUAGGAAGAAGGUUUUCGGAUUGUAAACUAUUGUCGUUAGGGAAGAGAAAGGACAGUACCUAAGGAGGAAGCUCCGGCUAACUACGUGCCAGCAGCCGCGGUAAUACGUAGGGAGCGAGCGUUAUCCGGAAUUAUUGGGUGUAAAGGGUGCGUAGACGGGAGAACAAGUUAGUUGUGAAAUACCUCGGCUCAACUGAGGAACUGCAACUAAAACUGUACUUCUUGAGUGCAGGAGAGGUAAGUGGAAUUCCUAGUGUAGCGGUGAAGUGCGUAGAUAUUAGGAGGAACACCAGUGGCGAAGGCGACUUACUGGACUGUAACUGACGUUGAGGCACGAAA
This 744-nucleotide ribosomal RNA is filed under the name uncultured bacterium. RNAcentral describes it as "bacterial SSU rRNA". It matches the Rfam family "Bacterial small subunit ribosomal RNA", at positions 8 to 758 of the family's 1533-position model. The record is from RNAcentral.